This 253-nucleotide ribosomal RNA is filed under the name Tepidisphaera sp. RNAcentral's name for it is "partial 16S ribosomal RNA". It matches the Rfam family "Bacterial small subunit ribosomal RNA", at positions 524 to 776 of the family's 1533-position model. RNAcentral also lists the same sequence under 1 other name. The record is from RNAcentral. Lineage: Bacteria; Pseudomonadati; Planctomycetota; Phycisphaerae; Tepidisphaerales; Tepidisphaeraceae.
UACAGAGGCCACGAGCGUUAGGCGGAAUCACUGGGCUUAAAGCGUGUGUAGGUGGAUGGCUAAGUACCUUGUGAAAUCCCACGGCUCAACCGUGGAACUGCUCGGUAUACUGGUCGUCUUGAGGCACUCAGGGGCGAGCGGAACAGAUGGUGGAGCGGUGAAAUGCGUAGAUAUCAUCUGGAACGCCAAUGGUGAAGACAGCUCGCUGGGGGUGUACUGACACUGAGACACGAAAGCCAGGGGAGCGAACGGG